UGGCGGCAGGCCUAACACAUGCAAGUCGAACGGUAACAGGAAGCAGCUUGCUGCUUUGCUGACGAGUGGCGGACGGGUGAGUAAUGUCUGGGAAACUGCCUGAUGGAGGGGGAUAACUACUGGAAACGGUAGCUAAUACCGCAUAACGUCGCAAGACCAAAGAGGGGGACCUUCGGGCCUCUUGCCAUCGGAUGUGCCCAGAUGGGAUUAGCUGGUAGGUGGGGUAACGGCUCACCUAGGCGACGAUCCCUAGCUGGUCUGAGAGGAUGACCAGCCACACUGGAACUGAGACACGGUCCAGACUCCUACGGGAGGCAGCAGUGGGGAAUAUUGCACAAUGGGCGCAAGCCUGAUGCAGCCAUGCCGCGUGUAUGAAGAAGGCCUUCGGGUUGUAAAGUACUUUCAGCGGAGAGGAAGGUGUUGAGGUUAAUAACCUCAGCAAUUGACGUUACCCGCAGAAGAAGCACCGGCUAACUCCGUGCCAGCAGCCGCGGUAAUACGGAGGGUGCAAGCGUUAAUCGGAAUUACUGGGCGUAAAGCGCACGCAGGCGGUCUGUCAAGUCG
RNAcentral lists this ribosomal RNA (564 nucleotides) under uncultured bacterium. RNAcentral's name for it is "bacterial SSU rRNA". It matches the Rfam family "Bacterial small subunit ribosomal RNA", at positions 37 to 590 of the family's 1533-position model. The record is from RNAcentral.